UACAGAGGGGGCGAGCGUUGUUCGGAAUUACCGGGCGUAAAGGGCGCGUAGGCGGCCUGCUAAGUCGAACGUGAAAUCCCCGGGCUCAACCCGGGAACUGCGUCCGAUACUGGUGGGCUUGAAUCCGGGAGAGGGAUGUGGAAUUCCAGGUGUAGCGGUGAAAUGCGCAGAUAUCAGGAGGAACACCGGUGGCGAAGGCGGGUCUCUGGGCCGAUACUGACGCUGAGGAGCGAAAGCGUGGGGAGCAAACAGG
This 253-nucleotide ribosomal RNA is filed under the name uncultured bacterium. Its description in RNAcentral is "partial 16S ribosomal RNA". It matches the Rfam family "Bacterial small subunit ribosomal RNA", at positions 524 to 776 of the family's 1533-position model. The record is from RNAcentral.